This 1680-nucleotide long non-coding RNA is filed under the name Bemisia tabaci. RNAcentral's name for it is "lncRNA ENSSSA2NGG010132". The record is from RNAcentral. Lineage: Eukaryota; Metazoa; Arthropoda; Insecta; Hemiptera; Aleyrodidae.
UCGUAAAAGUUUAGUUUAUCUCAUUCAUCAAUAUUCUAAAUGAUUUCAGAUUGACGAAAGACACUCAAUUUUAUUAGCUGCAGUCGAGACGGUAUUAUUUUCUACCAUACUUUUAGUUGAGGCUCUGUACAUAACUAAUCUGCGAGUUGCUGUAAGUAUUGAAAUCAAUCAAUUCAAGUCUCAAAAUCCUUUGCUUUUAAGCUGAAAUCCCUCUUCAAUUCCACAGAAAGUCAAUCCCUCUUCCUCUGACAAAAAUCGAAGAAAGUAGAACUUGAGCCGUAGUUAAAUGCCUAUGCAUAUUUAUAUUAAUGUGCACAAUGCUUCGAUACAAAAUUCCUCAUAUGUAACAUAUUAAAUUGGUAUCAUCAGAUAUAGUGGGCUCUGAAGGGUAGUGGUACAUCAAAGAUUUCCCUUUGUUCUUGUUUUGUGUGCAGUGUUCUGAAGUUGGAUUCCUGGCUUACUCGAUAUAUCUGAAAAACCAUAGGGCCGGAAAAGAUCUGCUGCUCGUUGUCUACAGGUCAAAUCGGCAAGAAAAAUUCUCGUGUCUUUUUACGUCCUCGUUUACUCCCAAAACAGUUUUCAAGAUUCUGAAUAUGGUUUGGAAUUUCUUCACGAUUGCCAAAGGGAUGGAGGAAAAACUUGCACGUGCUGGACAUUACUAGGAGCGGAAGCGACCCCGUCAAGCCGAAAGCGAUCUCCAACAACCAAGAAUGGGAGCCGCUACUGGAUCUUACACGAACCCGUUCAACUUUUCCGUUAUUUUGAGAUAUCUCCGCGAAAACUUAACAAAACUCAAAACCCUUUGCACUCUGGCUGGCAAACUUAAUUCCUCGCAUACGGGCGAAAUUCGGAGGUGAUUCAUUAAGCAAGCAGUUAAUUAAUAAUCGCUAAUUAAUUGCCGUUUUUUGGUCAAAUUUUCAAAUCACCCGCGUGUUAUCACAUUCGUGCCUCGAAAUGUUGCCUUCAAUCGGCCAUCCGCAUUAAAUAUAAUGUGCACCCAACAGUUAUGAAUAUCAAUGCAACUCAUUUCAUAGUUUAAACCAGUGCAAGGUAUCAUUUCUUGAAUUAAAAGCGUCCUUUCGAAUUAUUGAAACUUAGAUUGUCAAACGAUCCAAGUCGUAUCUCUUGAUCGAGUGAACAGCUGUGAACAGAAUAUAUCGUGAAUCAAGUGAUUCAAGUGAAUCCCGGCUGGUGAAUUCUGAAUCGCGACCCUCUUUUCCACGCUUGCAAGGAAACUGAGAUUAACAUAGAUUUGCGUUAAUCACUCAUUUUCCGAUUUGUCUUUUUUUCUAGUAACAACUGGUUUCUAAGAAUUUUGAAUUUCUUGCCUUCGUGACUUCGUGCCGGGAAGCUAGCUGAUGUCACAGUCAAUUCAAUCAAUCAAUGUUUGUCUGUUCGCUUUUAGGUUAUCGCGAGAUGUAAGCAUACCUACACAAACUAAACUAAUAAUAAAUUAAUGUUGUUUUUUCGAAAUGCAAACUAAAUUAUUUUAAUGAAACUUCCCUUUAUUGUUCACUGCUAUCUCUAAAUUUUGUGUCUACCUUUAUUACCGUGCUACAAGUUCUGUGUAAAUUCUUCCAUCUAGGAUUCAUUUGUUAGCAAGCAAAUCUGUAAGUACCUAUGAAAAUAAGUGAAUUUUAAUACCCUUAUCAUCUAUCAUUUUAACUUAUGCUGGAAUGG